GGAAAUUAAAGUUUCGGAUAGUUUUGCGAAAAAAGGAAGUGUUUUGGUGUAGGAGAAAGUUUGAUUUAUUGAAAGGUCAGCUCUGCACACCUGAUUCCAAGCGAACCUCCGACGAAUCUACCGUGCCUAGAUGCUAGUUUGUUCCUUGCUGCAAACCUAAGUUGCAAGCAACCAACAAUCCGCCACCGGUACCAGGAACCGUCACUGAGGGUGAUUUGUACCUGUAAGUAAACCUAAAACAAAAAGGAAAAAAAUGUUAAUA
Long non-coding RNA from Culex quinquefasciatus (southern house mosquito), 262 nucleotides. RefSeq lists it as uncharacterized. The transcript has 3 exons. NCBI's taxonomy places the organism in Eukaryota, Metazoa, Arthropoda, Insecta, Diptera, Culicidae. The record is from RefSeq and is a predicted model, not a curated record.